GUGGGGAAUAUUGGGCAAUGGGGGAAACCCUGACCCAGCGACGCCGCGUGAGGGAAGACGGCCUUCGGGUUGUAAACCUCUUUUGUACGGGAAGAAGGAAGUGACGGUACUGUACGAAUAAGUCCCGGCUAACUACGUGCCAGCAGCCGCGGUAAUACGUAGGGGACGAGCGUUGUCCGGAAUUACUGGGCGUAAAGGGCGCGCAGGCUGUGCUGCAAGUCAGCUGUGAAAUGUCUGGGCUUAACCCGGGCAUGCGGUUGAGACUGCAGUGCUGGAGUGCUGUAGAGGUAAGUGGAAUUCCCAGUGUAGCGGUGAAAUGCGUAGAUAUUGGGAAGAACACCGGUGGCGAAGGCGACUUGCUGGGCAGCAACUGACGCUGAGGCGCGAAAGCCAGGGGAGCAAACGGGAUUAGAUACCCUAGUAGUCC
This 427-nucleotide ribosomal RNA is filed under the name uncultured bacterium. Its description in RNAcentral is "partial 16S ribosomal RNA". It matches the Rfam family "Bacterial small subunit ribosomal RNA", at positions 354 to 796 of the family's 1533-position model. The record is from RNAcentral.